This 253-nucleotide ribosomal RNA is filed under the name uncultured bacterium. Its description in RNAcentral is "partial 16S ribosomal RNA". It matches the Rfam family "Bacterial small subunit ribosomal RNA", at positions 524 to 776 of the family's 1533-position model. The record is from RNAcentral.
UACGUAGGGGGCGAGCGUUGUCCGGAAUUAUUGGGCGUAAAGAGCGUGUAGGCGGUUCGGUAAGUCUGCCGUGAAAACCUGGGGCUCAACCCUGGGCGUGCGGUGGAUACUGCCGGGCUAGAGGGUGGUAGAGGCGAGUGGAAUUCCCGGUGUAGCGGUGAAAUGCGCAGAUAUCAGGAGGAACACCGGUGGCGAAGGCGGGUCUCUGGGCCGAUACUGACGCUGAGGAGCGAAAGCGUGGGGAGCGAACAGG